CUUGUGAUUACUUGUAUCCAUGGCUCUGCUGAAAAUAGGUGGGAGGUAAGAAAAACAACAUUGACAAAUUAUAAAGGUCACUCACCUAUGGUGCUAUUGAUCACCAAGUCAAAGCUCUGAAUGUCCUGAGACUGCUCUGCUACCUGGAAUCCCAGAGUACCUGGGAGGUCUCCUAUAGGUCCUGCAGCCAAGCCCCAUGUCCUCUGCAGACAUGUGAGUGAAGUCACUUCCAGAUGAUGCCAACCCUUUGCUGUGGAUUCAACUCCAGCCAAUGAGUCUUCUCUGCAGUCCCCAAAACCAAUAAGCAGCAAUAAGCCAGCUUUUCUGUCUUCCUAGCCCUGUGAACCAUGAACAAAAUAAAGUGGUUGUUUUAUGCAUUAU
Molecule: long non-coding RNA, 381 nt
Filed under: Homo sapiens (human)
Lineage: Eukaryota; Metazoa; Chordata; Mammalia; Primates; Hominidae
Description: HSALNT0161560
Source: RNAcentral